RNAcentral lists this ribosomal RNA (711 nucleotides) under Bacillus sp. (in: firmicutes). RNAcentral describes it as "bacterial SSU rRNA". It matches the Rfam family "Bacterial small subunit ribosomal RNA", at positions 51 to 744 of the family's 1533-position model. The record is from RNAcentral. Lineage: Bacteria; Bacillati; Bacillota; Bacilli; Caryophanales; Bacillaceae.
AUACAUGCAAGUCGAGCGGACAGAUGGGAGCUUGCUCCCUGAUGUUAGCGGCGGACGGGUGAGUAACACGUGGGUAACCUGCCUGUAAGACUGGGAUAACUCCGGGAAACCGGGGCUAAUACCGGAUGCUUGUUUGAACCGCAUGGUUCAAACAUAAAAGGUGGCUUCGGCUACCACUUACAGAUGGACCCGCGGCGCAUUAGCUAGUUGGUGAGGUAAUGGCUCACCAAGGCAACGAUGCGUAGCCGACCUGAGAGGGUGAUCGGCCACACUGGGACUGAGACACGGCCCAGACUCCUACGGGAGGCAGCAGUAGGGAAUCUUCCGCAAUGGACGAAAGUCUGACGGAGCAACGCCGCGUGAGUGAUGAAGGUUUUCGGAUCGUAAAGCUCUGUUGUUAGGGAAGAACAAGUACCGUUCGAAUAGGGCGGUACCUUGACGGUACCUAACCAGAAAGCCACGGCUAACUACGUGCCAGCAGCCGCGGUAAUACGUAGGUGGCAAGCGUUGUCCGGAAUUAUUGGGCGUAAAGGGCUCGCAGGCGGUUUCUUAAGUCUGAUGUGAAAGCCCCCGGCUCAACCGGGGAGGGUCAUUGGAAACUGGGGAACUUGAGUGCAGAAGAGGAGAGUGGAAUUCCACGUGUAGCGGUGAAAUGCGUAGAGAUGUGGAGGAACACCAGUGGCGAAGGCGACUCUCUGGUCUGUAACUGAC